CCCGGGUCUUGUACACACCGCCCGUCACACCAUGGGAGCGGGAUGUACCAGAAGUAGGUAGGCUAACCGCAAGGGGGCCGCUUACCACGGUGCGUUUCGUGACUGGGGUGAAGUCGUAACAAGGUACCC
This 129-nucleotide ribosomal RNA is filed under the name uncultured bacterium. RNAcentral describes it as "partial 16S ribosomal RNA". It matches the Rfam family "Bacterial small subunit ribosomal RNA", at positions 1373 to 1501 of the family's 1533-position model. The record is from RNAcentral.